AUGGCGCAGCAGCUGCUGCUUCUCCUACCCGCGCCUUCGGGGACGUUCUCGAAGCCACUCCCUUCCCCUGCCCCCUCCAUGCCCCGGCGCCAUGUCCCCUCCAUCUCCAUCACACGCCGAUUGGUGGCGGGAGUCGCCGCCGCCCGCCGCGACCUGCUCCGCUGCGGAAUGCGGCGCUCAGAUUUGGUGUCCGAAUUGGAGCUCGCCAAGGACAAGAAGCAGCAGGGUGGUAGUGCCAAUGCCAUAUUCUGGAUCUUGCUGCUUAAUUUUGGACUCUAUGUUGCAGACCACUUGUUACAGAUCCGGCAGAUAAAGGCACUCUACCUGUACCAUGCAUUCCCGUCUUGGUAUCAGUUUGUGACAUCAACGUUUUGCCAUGCUAACUGGAACCACCUUUCAAGCAAUCUGUUCUUUGUGUACAUUUUUGGAAAGCUUGUAGAAGAGGAGGAAGGUAACUUCGCACUGUGGAUGUCUUAUAUUUUGACUGGUGCUGGAGCAAACUUGAUUUCAUGGUUAGUUCUUCCAACGUCAUCUGUGUCGCUUGGAGCAUCUGGGGCUGUUUUUGGCCUUUUCACAAUUAGUGUACUGGUAAAGAUGUCCUGUGACUGGAGAAAGAUUCUUGAGGUCCUUAUCCUUGGUCAAUUUGUUGUUGACAAGGUCAUGGAAGCUGCACGUGCAACUACCAUAACAGGCGCCGCACUUCAAGUAAACAACAUUGCCCAUGUCUCGGGUGCUUUGAUUGGUGCUGCGUUAGUAUUUGUGAUCAACAGAAUCCCCUUAUCAUCUAUUGAUGAUAACCCAAAGGCUUCAAAGGAUAACAAGGACAAAAGAAGUUAA
This 837-nucleotide ribosomal RNA is filed under the name Triticum aestivum (bread wheat). RNAcentral's name for it is "partial small subunit ribosomal RNA". Lineage: Eukaryota; Viridiplantae; Streptophyta; Magnoliopsida; Poales; Poaceae. The record is from RNAcentral.